CCUACGGGUGGCAGCAGUGAGGAAUAUUGGUCAAUGGGCGCGAGCCUGAACCAGCCAAGUCGCGUGAGGGAGGACGGCCCUACGGGUUGUAAACCUCUUUUGCCGGGGAGCAACGGGCGCCACGUGUGGCGUCACUGAGAGUACCCGGCGAUAACGCAUCGGAUAACUCCGUGCUAGCAGCCGCGGUAAUACGUAGGAUGCGAGCGUUAUCCGGAUUUAUUGGGUUUAAGGGGUUCGUAGUGGGUUCGUUAAGUCAGUGGUCAAAUUGAGGGGCUCAACCCCUUCCCGCCAUUGAUACUGGCAGUCUUGAGUGGAAUAGAGGUAUGCGGAAUGCGUGGUGUAGCGGUGAAAUGCGUAGAUAUCACGCAGAACCCCGAUUGCGAAGGCAGCAUGCCGGCUUCCUACUGACGCUGAAGCACGAAAGCGUGGGGAUCGAACAGGAUUAGAUACCCUUGUAGUC
Molecule: ribosomal RNA, 460 nt
Filed under: uncultured bacterium
Lineage: Bacteria
Description: partial 16S ribosomal RNA
Rfam family: Bacterial small subunit ribosomal RNA
Source: RNAcentral